Molecule: transfer RNA, 70 nt
Filed under: Marmota monax (woodchuck)
Lineage: Eukaryota; Metazoa; Chordata; Mammalia; Rodentia; Sciuridae
Description: tRNA.Ala
Rfam family: tRNA (bases 5-65)
About the family: Transfer RNA (tRNA) molecules are approximately 80 nucleotides in length. Their secondary structure includes four short double-helical elements and three loops (D, anti-codon, and T loops).
Source: RNAcentral
GGGCUGGGGCUCAGUGGCAGAGCGCUCGCCUCGCAUGCGUGGGGCACUGGGUUCGAUCCUCAGCACCACA